Molecule: long non-coding RNA, 1200 nt
Filed under: Struthio camelus australis
Lineage: Eukaryota; Metazoa; Chordata; Aves; Struthioniformes; Struthionidae
Description: lncRNA (ENSSCUG00000012939.1)
Source: RNAcentral
AUGACCAACCUGAUGUUCUGGAAAGGCCAGUUACACAUGCAGAUCUGGCCCCCCAGUGGGCUACUCCCACUUGCUUUUUGUCAGGUCUACAGCUGUGUGCUGUGGAGGCUGGUCCUGGCAGGAUUCCUAGAUACACUGGCUUUUGGAAGAUUUCCAGAGGUUCUGGAAGCUGUCGAUUACCGAGGAGGAUUUGGAGAGAAGUGGUCUGUAAUCCCCAGGAAACUUGCCUGAUUCACCAGGUGCUGGUGCAUAUUUAGAAAAAUUAGAGGAGCUCAUGAGUUUAUUAUGGCCUGAAGCCACCAAGACUGUGAGACUGCAAUGGCCUUGCAGUCACACACACAAAAGUAAAACUCCUAGGUGUUAAAUUAUUUUUACUACCUGAUCACACCCUUGGGUGGGGCUCUCCUUAACGGGAAUGCCUCUUCCACAGGAAACUGCUAUUCUAGCAAACAUCAUAGCAGUUAGGUCAUUAGCUGUGUAAGAGGUCCAGUUCGGAUUUGAGCUGGGGUUUCCAGAACACACACGUGCACUCCCCCUCCUUCCCAUAACCACAUUUUUGACUGGUGUCGGAUUGCUGGGCUCAAGUGCAAUAUCCAUUUACUUAAAAAGCAAUUUCAAAUCUUGUUGUAUUUUAAUAGGUGCAUAAAGUGUAAAUUUGCUCUCUAUAUAUGGGACCAUCUCCACAUGUAAUAGAAUCUGUUUUUAUUGUCUUUCUGAUUGUGUUUACAUUUGGAAAGAUUUUCUAAACGUCAUUUCUCCUGCAAAAACAGCCAAGCAGUAUAUUUCUCUUUUCCCUGGAUGCAGGCUUUUUUGUGCUCUUCUCUUCAGCAGUUGGCACAAACUGACAUUUCUUUCCUUUAAAUACUGAAAAAAAUCAUGAAAUCACAGUAUAAUGGGAGCAUCAUUCCAAAUUGCUGCUGCAUUUCACAAGGUGUGCACAGAGCAGCAUCCUACUAUUCUUAGCAUAAAAUACACUGAGCUGGUUCAUAGUAUGUGAGUACUGAGGAAGCACGUAGUCUUUGGGUGUUCCUGGUAAGUUACAACUUCCCCACGCUAUGCCAAAAAGCUUUCUACUUCAGCACUCAUGACUUUCGAGUACUCUGUAGAGGUAGUAAUAACUGUGUUCUUCUCACAGUGAAGGGACAGUGAGUCUUUGCUUCUUGUACAAUAAACCAUGUAGAAAUUAGUUGAGAAUGGGCA